This 330-nucleotide ribosomal RNA is filed under the name uncultured eukaryote. RNAcentral's name for it is "partial 18S ribosomal RNA". It matches the Rfam family "Eukaryotic small subunit ribosomal RNA", at positions 1470 to 1796 of the family's 1831-position model. The record is from RNAcentral.
CCCUUAGAUGUUCUGGGCCGCACGCGCGCUACACUGAUGAAUGCAACGAGCUCUACCCUUGACCGAAAGGCCCGGGUAAACUUGUGAAACUUCAUCGUGAUGGGGAUAGAUUAUUGCAAUUAUUAAUCUUCAACGAGGAAUUCCUAGUAAGCGCGAGUCAUCAGCUCGCGUUGAUUACGUCCCUGCCCUUUGUACACACCGCCCGUCGCUCCUACCGAUUGAAGUUUUCGGUGAGUUGACAGGAGGAUUUUUUUGAAACUGGUUCGCCAGUGGAUUUUAGAUCCAAAUGCCAACGAAUCGAUGGCUUUAGAGGAAGGAGAAGUCGUAACA